CGAACGCUGGCGGCGUGCUUAACACAUGCAAGUCGAACGCGAAAGGGGACUUCGGUCCUGAGUAAAGUGGCGCACGGGUGAGUAACGCGUAGAUAACCUGUCUUCAUGUCUGGAAUAAUACGCCGAAAGGGGUACUAAUACCGGAUAUUCUUGCUUUUCAUAAGUUAUGCAAGCAAAGGUGGCCUCUGCAUAUGCUACUGCAUGAAGAGGGGUCUGCGUACCAUUAGCUAGUAGGUGGGGUAAUGGCCUACCUAGGCGACGAUGGUUAGCGGGUCUGAGAGGAUGAUCCGCCACACUGGCACUGGAACACGGGCCAGACUCCUACGGGAGGCAGCAGUGAGGAAUAUUGCGCAAUGGGGGAAACCCUGACGCAGCGACGCCGCGUGAGUGAGGAAGGCCUUCGGGUCGUAAAGCUCUGUCAAGAGGAAAGAAGUGUACAAUGGCUAAUACCUGUUGUAUUUGACGGUACCUCUAAAGGAAGCACCGGCUAACUCCGUGCCAGCAGCAGC
This 509-nucleotide ribosomal RNA is filed under the name uncultured bacterium. Its description in RNAcentral is "bacterial SSU rRNA". It matches the Rfam family "Bacterial small subunit ribosomal RNA", at positions 30 to 518 of the family's 1533-position model. The record is from RNAcentral.